Molecule: microRNA precursor, 105 nt
Filed under: Canis lupus familiaris (dog)
Lineage: Eukaryota; Metazoa; Chordata; Mammalia; Carnivora; Canidae
Also listed under: 1 other name
Description: mir-8834 microRNA precursor family
Rfam family: mir-8834 microRNA precursor family
Source: Rfam by way of RNAcentral
AGGAGCAACAGACCCAGUGGUGGGGCCAGCUCUGGAAACCUGGAUUCAGCUCCGGCAGGAACUCCGGAGCUCUCCGUCUGCAGGGCCUGGAGGCUCUGGGGUGGG